This 253-nucleotide ribosomal RNA is filed under the name uncultured prokaryote. RNAcentral describes it as "partial 16S ribosomal RNA". It matches the Rfam family "Bacterial small subunit ribosomal RNA", at positions 524 to 776 of the family's 1533-position model. The record is from RNAcentral.
UACGUAGGGGGCGAGCGUUGUCCGGAUUUAUUGGGCGUAAAGGGCACGCAGGCGGUCUACCGCGUUCGGAGUGACAGCUUCUGGCUUAACCGGGAGAGGGUUCUGAAAACGGGUAGACUUGAGGGCCAAAGAGGAACACAGAAUUCCGGGUGUAGUGGUGAAAUGCGUAGAUAUCCGGAGGAAUACCAAUGGCGAAGGCAGUGUUCUGGGUGGCAACUGACGCUGAGGUGCGAAAGCCAGGGGAGCGAACGGG